ACUGUACUUUGAAGCAUGGCAUGUGUGACUGCUGUGUCACAUGUGUGUCAGUAGAGAAGUGAGAGGCUAUGUCUACACUCAGUAUUCUGACCUAUGAACAUCUGAAUGAUUAUCAGCCUAGCAUU
Molecule: small nucleolar RNA, 125 nt
Organism: Rattus norvegicus (Norway rat)
Lineage: Eukaryota; Metazoa; Chordata; Mammalia; Rodentia; Muridae
Product: small nucleolar RNA SNORA17
Source: Ensembl